This 317-nucleotide long non-coding RNA is filed under the name Mytilus galloprovincialis (Mediterranean mussel). Lineage: Eukaryota; Metazoa; Mollusca; Bivalvia; Mytilida; Mytilidae. The record is from RNAcentral.
GGCCGGUUCAGUCAAAUCGUUUCAGAAUCAUAAUUUGGUCUGCUGAUAUCUUUAUCGCGAUGAACAUGGAGCAUGACAAGACCGCACAAUCUCUUGCCACUCAUGCAUGCUCUUUUCCAAGUUUUCAGUCGUUUCAGGGCAGUCUGUGUUUCUAAAGGUAGCACAUUAUCAUCAACACAAUGAUCAAUGUCUUCUUCCAAUUCCUUCUCCAUCAGCAAUUCGGUAGCAGCAUCGGUAGUAACAGUUUUGUUUGCAAAAGGGAAUUAAGUUUUCCUGUAAGCACCAUCAUACAGUCGCAGUUACAAAAUAUUAAACUC